This 496-nucleotide ribosomal RNA is filed under the name uncultured bacterium. Its description in RNAcentral is "bacterial SSU rRNA". It matches the Rfam family "Bacterial small subunit ribosomal RNA", at positions 359 to 853 of the family's 1533-position model. The record is from RNAcentral.
GAAUAUUGGACAAUGGUGGCAACACUGAUCCAGCCAUGCCGCGUGAAGGAUGAAGGCCCUAUGGGUUGUAAACUUCUUUUGUACGGGGAAAAAACCUUCUUACGUGUAAGAAGCUGAUUGUACUGUAAGAAUAAGGAUCGGCUAACUCCGUGCCAGCAGCCGCGGUAAUACGGAGGAUCCAAGCGUUAUCCGGAUUCAUUGGGGUUUAAAGGGUGCGUAGGCGGAAUGAUAAGUCAGUGGUGAAAUCUCGCAGCUUAACUGCGAAACUGCCAUUGAUACUGUCAAUCUUGAGUACAUUUGAUGAGGGCGGAAUGUGUCAUGUAGCGGUGAAAUGCUUAGAUAUGACACAGAACACCGAUUGCGAAGGCAGCUCUCAAAACUGUAACUGACGCUGAGGCACGAAAGCGUGGGUAUCAAACAGGAUUAGAUACCCUGGUAGUCCACUCUGUAAACUAUGAUUACUCGAUGUUUGCGAUACACAGUAAGCGUCUAAGCG